CCUACGGGAGGCAGCAGUGGGGAAUUUUGGACAAUGGGCGCAAGCCUGAUCCAGCAAUGCCGCGUGAGUGAAGAAGGCCUUCGGGUUGUAAAGCUCUUUUGUCAGGGAAGAAACGGCUGAGGUUAAUACCUUUGGCUAAUGACGGUACCUGAAGAAUAAGCACCGGCUAACUACGUGCCAGCAGCCGCGGUAAUACGUAGGGUGCAAGCGUUAAUCGGAAUUACUGGGCGUAAAGCGUGCGCAGGCGGUUUUGUAAGUCUGACGUGAAAUCCCCGGGCUCAACCUGGGAAUUGCGUUGGAGACUGCAAGGCUGGAGUCUGGCAGAGGGGGGUAGAAUUCCACGUGUAGCAGUGAAAUGCGUAGAGAUGUGGAGGAACACCGAUGGCGAAGGCAGCCCCCUGGGUCAAGACUGACGCUCAUGCACGAAAGCGUGGGGAGCAAACAGGAUUAGAUACCCUGGUAGUCCACGCCCUAAACGAUGUCUACUAGUUGUCGGGUCUUAAUUGACUUGGUAACGCAGCUACGCGUGAGUAGACCGCCGUGGGAGGUACGGUCGGUCGAGUUAAGUUAAACGUAACGAAGUUAGUAGUUGCGGNGNGAGACGCGACGACGACGACGACGGAGGAGGAG
This 630-nucleotide ribosomal RNA is filed under the name uncultured bacterium. RNAcentral's name for it is "partial 16S ribosomal RNA". The stretch from base 1 to 540 matches the Rfam family "Bacterial small subunit ribosomal RNA", at positions 338 to 873 of the family's 1533-position model. The record is from RNAcentral.